CGAGCGUCAGCGAGAAAGCGUUGCCGCAGGCAACGACCCGAAGGGCGAAGCGCGCAGCGCUGAGUCAUCCUUCCCCCAUCACCA
RNAcentral lists this small RNA (84 nucleotides) under Salmonella enterica subsp. enterica serovar Cerro. RNAcentral describes it as "partial RtT sRNA". It matches the Rfam family "RtT RNA", at positions 49 to 130 of the family's 130-position model. Rfam says of the family: This family represents a bacterial cis-regulatory element known as RtT RNA. The exact function of RtT is unknown although it is thought that it may be involved in changing the cellular response in relation to amino acid starvation. Lineage: Bacteria; Pseudomonadati; Pseudomonadota; Gammaproteobacteria; Enterobacterales; Enterobacteriaceae. The record is from RNAcentral.